UGCUCGUUGUAAGACGGAGUUACGAUUUGAAGCCGAUUUUCUUUUCCAGUUGAGUCGCAUUCAAUGUUGCUCUAUUUACAGCCGAUUGAUUCGUUCUUGAUUGUCAUUUUUGCCUCGCCGUGAACCAUUGGGCUCAUAUUUGGGUACAUCUUGAUUCAGUGAGCGAAUCCUUGAUUUUCCAAAAGGUUGAAGUGGACUUGAUUUUCCACUUCUUGGGUAAGUUGUGGAAUUUA
Long non-coding RNA from Cucumis sativus (cucumber), 233 nucleotides. RefSeq lists it as uncharacterized. The transcript has 2 exons. The record is from RefSeq and is a predicted model, not a curated record. Lineage: Eukaryota; Viridiplantae; Streptophyta; Magnoliopsida; Cucurbitales; Cucurbitaceae.